This 274-nucleotide ribosomal RNA is filed under the name uncultured bacterium. Its description in RNAcentral is "partial 16S ribosomal RNA". It matches the Rfam family "Bacterial small subunit ribosomal RNA", at positions 523 to 796 of the family's 1533-position model. The record is from RNAcentral.
AUACGGAGGGUGCAAGCGUUAAUCGGAAUUACUGGGCGUAAAGAGUACGUAGGCGGCCUACUAAGUCAGAUGUGAAAGCCCAGGGCUCAACCUUGGAACUGCAUUUGAAACUGGUAGGCUAGAGUAUGGUAGAGGGGGGUAGAAUUUCUGGUGUAGCGGUGAAAUGCGUAGAUAUCAGAAGGAAUACCAGUGGCGAAGGCGGCCCCCUGGCCCAAUACUGACGCUGAGGUACGAAAGCGUGGGUAGCGAACGGGAUUAGAAACCCCGGUAGUCC